RNAcentral lists this ribosomal RNA (349 nucleotides) under uncultured bacterium. RNAcentral describes it as "bacterial SSU rRNA". It matches the Rfam family "Bacterial small subunit ribosomal RNA", at positions 1 to 334 of the family's 1533-position model. The record is from RNAcentral.
CGCUCGACAUCUAGAGUUUUGAUCCUGGCUCAGGAUGAACGCUAGCUACAGGCUUAACACAUGCAAGUCGAGGGCAGCAUGAAUAUUGGCUUGCCAAUAUUUGAUGGCGACCGGCGCACGGGUGAGUAACACGUAUCCAACCUUCCGGUUACUCGGGGAUAGGCUUUCGAAAGAAAGAUUAAUACCCGAUGUUGCGUAUCUUUCUCCUGAAAGAUACGCCAAAGGAUUCCGGUAACCGAUGGGGAUGCGUUCCAUUAGGCAGUUGGCGGGGUAACGGCCCACCCAAACCUUCGAUGGAUAGGGGUUCUGAGAGGAAGGUCCCCCACAUUGGAACUGAGACACGGUCCAA